AAGCAACCGUGAACCAUUGCACAUUAGCAACAAAAGAGGUAUAUCAGUUUACCAUCCCCGCUGCCUUGACACUAUCACAACACAAUGCAAGUUCAUAUACUAUCCGAUCUUUACUGAUGCUCGUUUUCUACUUUUCGGUUAUCAAAUAUUAAGAGAAACACCACUAUGCUAACAAGCGAAAGGUUCAGGCCGACAGGACUUUGACACGGGGUAACAUGUCCAUCUCCGUUUCUCAUGGUUAACGAUGUUUUUCCCUAACCAUGGGCUAAAAAUCAUAUGCUACCGUGCAGGACCACAUCCCAUUGGUUAUGACAAUUAGACCCAUUAGUCAGAAUCUUUCAGAUAUCAUCAUCUAUAAAGAUAUUAUGUACUGGUGAUUUGAUCCAUUGUGCCACUCAUACUUCACCUAUUUGGAUCAUUUAGCUCGAGCAAUUUGCACAAUCUUAUUCUUACAGUAAGUGUAGAGUAUUCAUAUAUACAUAUAAAGUUAGUCAUGAUCCGCUUCCUGUAUGUUAUGUAGGUCCGACAUAUUCUAAACUUAAAAUAUUAAUGGGCAGUACGAAUGACCUUAAGUGAACCAUUUCCUGCAAAUUAAACUAAAUCUUGCCAUCUUCAGUAAUCAUGCAUAUACAUGUGCAUUAGUUUUUAUCAAAUAUUGUAGCAUGGUGUUAAUUUGGUUGGACUGGUCAACUGUUCUAGCAAUUCUUGCUGCAAUAUUCAUUCUAUAGUAUGUACUAGAUCUUAGACAAGAUAAUUUCCUAUCUAUUAAUAAAUUUUUAUGGACAAGAUUAUUAUAUCUGUUUCUUCCUAGACAGAAAAUACAUUUUCUGACUUUUAUACUUUUCCAUAUGCUUUUCUGGAAUUUGCACACACACACACACACACACACACACACACACACACACACACACACACAUGCAAUUAAUAUGGUUUUUAAUCAUCCAAAUUUACCAUGAAUCUCAGCAAUCAGCCUUUUAAAGAGGUGUUCAUGAGUGAUGUAUAGUUGCACACAAGGAGGAUUUGUGCCAUGUGGCACUAUCCGUUCAAAGAAAUGCUUUUAUCCCGCUGCAAGUUGUUUUCAAUGUUUUUCUAAGAACAAAAUGCUUUCUUUGUCUUUGUUAAUUUGAACUUUCAAUAUAAUCAUUCUUCAACUUUAGUUUUUCAUUGCCUUAGUUAUCCCCAUUAAUUUAGUCUUUUAGUAUAUUUAUUUUGUGUUGUUGUGCUGCUCUAGGUUUGUAUCCUGGUCAGAAUGUGUAUAAUUGUAGCUGACACAGAGAUUAUACAGAGGUGGCAAGAAGAACACUCUGCACUGUACUGUAAUCUGUGUGUGUGCCUGUCAAACUGUUUAUUGAAUACUUUUGGCAACUGAAAAAAAUGCUUCCAAUGUUGCUAAUGUUGAGAACCAUUGCUGAUGGUCUUAGAAAGGGAGGGGUUUCGGAAUUAUUUUGGGGUGUUAAAAUUUCACUAAAAAAUAUUGUUGACCAAAACGUUGGGACCGGCACCCUCGCGCCAAGGCAAACAACUAAACUGUAAUGUAGCUUUGAACAAGGGGAGGAAUUUAUAAAGAUUAUUGCAUCUCUUUUUGUUUCCAAUAAUGACAUUUUUGCUUCUCACUUUGUAAUGAUUAUACUACUGAUCAGUUUGUGUUGUGCUUCUUAGUAUCUUGCCAAUUCUAUUUUGCCUGGUCAAGCAUGUGCUUUUUUUGCUGCCAUGUCAAGAACACAAAGAAUGCCAAUGUGUUUUAAUUUAUUUCCACUACAAUUUUUUCCUGUUGCCAAAAGUGGCUUCUCUGGAAAAAGGAAAUGCAUGGUGUCUUUUGUGCAGGUUGGUUUGCACAAGGUGCUGUAGUUUUCAAGAUAUAUCAUGUGCUCAAAUGUUUGAAUCAAAGGCUUAUGUUGUGUACCGAAAGAAUCCUGAGAAAUUUUAGAAGGUGAGUUCUGUUGGAAAUAUGUUGAUCCUUACUAUUAUUAUAUUAUCUUUUGCAUGAACAUUUGAUGCUCAAGUUUAAAAAAAAUCAUAGAAAUCUUGGUGUUUUCUGCUCUUAUUGUUCCUAAUUUUAUAGGAGACCUGGAUGACUACCUAGGAUUUAGAUGUGUUAGCCCAGACCCCGAGAUAUAUCAUGCGCUCAAUGUUACAUAUAUAUUCACAUUUAGUGGAAAUGAGCAUGCAGUAAUUAACUGGACUAUAGUAGAUGGACUGAGAACAUAACAGAAAAAGUCGGGAAUAGAAGGUCCUGAAGGAGAUAUUUUCGUAAUUGUGGCUUGGCAGCUCAAAUUGAGCAUCAUUGUGGCUGUAGUUUAGUGGUGAGAAUUCCACGUUGUGGCCAUGGAGACCUGGGCUUGAAUCCCAGCAGCCACACAAUUUUUUUCUCUCGCAUUCUUUCUUUUUGACAGUACAUUUCUUGCAAUCUAGCAGUACUGAUUGCAUGUUAUUACUCCUGCAAGAUGAUUAGAUUAUUCUUUUCGUGCAAAAAAUCACCUCACGCGUUAUUAAUCUGAAAUGGAUUUUAACCUGUUUGAGCAACUUUCUAUGAUGAUAAGAAGUUAUAACAAGUGAAUUUUUCAAAAAAAUAACAUGAGUGAAAUGAAGGUCAAUUUCCUAUCAAGUACUCUGGAACUGUGAGCUUAUUAGAUAUUUGGAUCCUUUAAGAUCAUCGAAAAUCUUCAGGCUAAAGAGGUAUAUUGCCAAGGAGCAAUCAUAUAUGGCCAGGCCAUGCUAAGGCCGAGGACGGUGGCCGCCAUCACACGGUGUCUGUCUUCUUAUUCCACUAUUUUUUCAAAUUGAAUUUGGAAUUGAAUGUGUGAACUCAGUGUUCUGGCAGAUCGGAAACAAGUUUUGUGUGCAAUGCAAUCUUUAUAUGAUACAUACCUCAUAUCAAAAACUGAUAGAUGGCUGGUUAGAGUGCUAACUCCUAGCUUUUAUUUCUGGAUCUGCGAUGACCAUGUUCUAAUCAUCUCCUUCCGCCAUGAGGCAGGGUUAGGUUAGACAAAUUGGUUGCUAGAUUAGGAAGAGUUCUGAUCAUCUAGCUGUAAAAAAUUCUCCUCUUUACAUAAAUUUGACUUUUGAUUUCAAAUGCCCUACAUCUUUAGUGGGAGAAGCACAAAAGGGUUGUAGUUGAGGCGAGGCUGGGAACACAGGAUGCAUGGAUGGUGAUGUAGAGGCUUCUCACUAUGUCCAUUGUGUUUUAUUUUUCCUUGCCACAGUUCUAUGUAUGCGUAUGUAUGCGUUGGGCAGCUGAUUCAACUGGCUAAAUUUUAACCACGUCGAUUCUUCCAUGUUUUGUGACCAUAGCCUUUUUGAUUGGUUGACAAAAACAUUCUUAUCAUUAACGUAAGUUUAAUUCUGAAAGUUUAAGUUGUAUAUGUGAGCUUGAUGAUCUGCCAUAAAAUAUAUUUUUGUGAGAAGAUGGCUGGAAUCUUGGUAGAAGAAUACCAUGCUGAAACCUGAAGAAUGCACAUAUAUAAUUUUCCCUAAAAUAACAGGAACUAUUCAAGAUUUGAGAUGUUUUUAUGAUGGUUCAGAAAAUACGGUUAUACUUUUGUUUUGUUGGCUAUGAGACUAACAAAGGGGAGCUUAUGUUGGCUAUGAGAUUAACAAAGGGGACCUUAUGUUGGCAAUGAGAUUAACAAAGGGGACUUUAUGUUGGCUGAUCAAAGUUACUCUUAACUUUUGUUUUGUUUUGAUUAACUUGGACUUUCAGUUAACAACUUCCUUUUUCCAUUUGUAGGCUGAAGCUCAAGGCAUCACUCAAAACAGAGUAAGAAAAUAAGCUGGGAAUGGUGCAGUGGUAUGAAAUUAAAAAGAAACUGAAUAUAAAGUUGAAGAGCUGGAGCCAAGCAUGUUGGCAUGCGGUCAUGCUCUGGUUUAUUUACAAGUAUUGAGAUAGUGGUUAAGUUUGUUUUUGUUUCUCUAGGUUUUAGCAUUUUUGGUCUAAAUGCCACCAUCGUGUCACGAAAUUCUCUCCCUUUAGUGUGACAGCAAGAGAAGAAAGUGUGUAAAGAAUAUAGUGUGGUCCAUUUCUGCUUAUGUCAUAGUCAGUGUAACUUGAUGCUAAACCUGGAUUCCACUAACUUAUUGCAUUACCUGCUUGCCCAAAAUGUUGGAACCGGCAUCCUCUCUGGUCUUAUGAAAGCACCGAAUUUAAUUC
RNAcentral lists this long non-coding RNA (4147 nucleotides) under Triticum aestivum (bread wheat). RNAcentral describes it as "long non-coding RNA (TAES_LNC011251)". The stretch from base 2287 to 2358 matches the Rfam family "tRNA". Lineage: Eukaryota; Viridiplantae; Streptophyta; Magnoliopsida; Poales; Poaceae. The record is from RNAcentral.